Molecule: small nucleolar RNA, 75 nt
Organism: Euleptes europaea (tarantolino)
Lineage: Eukaryota; Metazoa; Chordata; Lepidosauria; Squamata; Sphaerodactylidae
Product: small nucleolar RNA SNORD47
Exons: 1
Source: RefSeq, a predicted model, not a curated record
AACCAGUGAUGAAAGUUGAUUCUGCCAGAUGAGACCUCGUGAUAUUAACUCUAUACCGUUCCACUUGCUGAGGUU